This 105-nucleotide ribosomal RNA is filed under the name uncultured bacterium. RNAcentral's name for it is "partial 16S ribosomal RNA". It matches the Rfam family "Bacterial small subunit ribosomal RNA", at positions 1379 to 1482 of the family's 1533-position model. The record is from RNAcentral.
CCUUGUACACACCGCCCGUCAAGUCAUGAAAGUCGGUAACACCCGAAGCCAGUGGCCCAACCGCAAGGGAGGGAGCUGUCGAAGGUGGGAUCGGUGAUUAGGACU